Molecule: ribosomal RNA, 346 nt
Filed under: Acantholichen pannarioides
Lineage: Eukaryota; Fungi; Basidiomycota; Agaricomycetes; Agaricales; Hygrophoraceae
Description: SSU rRNA
Rfam family: Eukaryotic small subunit ribosomal RNA
Source: RNAcentral
AUAGCGUAUAUUAAAGUUGUUGCAGUUAAAAAGCUCGUAGUUGAACCUUGGGCCUGGCUGGCCGGUCCGCCUCACCGCGUGCACUGGUCCGGCCGGGCCUUUCCUUCUGGGGAGCCGCAUGCCCUUCACUGGGUGUGUCGGGGAACCAGGACUUUUACUUUGAAAAAAUUAGAGUGUUCAAAGCAGGCCUUUGCUCGGAUACAUUAGCAUGGAAUAAUAGAAUAGGACGUGCGGUUCUAUUUUGUUGGUUUCUAGAGUCGCCGUAAUGAUUAAUAGGGAUAGUUGGGGGCAUUGGUAUUGAGUCGCUAGAGGUGAAAUUCUUGGAUUGACUCAAGACCAACUAUUG